This 1866-nucleotide long non-coding RNA is filed under the name Parus major (Great Tit). RNAcentral describes it as "lncRNA (ENSPMJG00000001942.1)". Lineage: Eukaryota; Metazoa; Chordata; Aves; Passeriformes; Paridae. The record is from RNAcentral.
CCCAUGGUGGCCACUGGUCCCAUGGGUGAUCAGUGGUCAGUGUCCAUCACCCAUGGGUGGUCACUGGUCCCAUGGGUGACCAGUGGCCAGUGUCCAUCACCCGUGGUGGCCAGUGGUCAGUGUCCAUCACCCAUGGCUGGUCACUGGUCCCAUGGGUGGUCACUGGUCCCAUGGGUGAUCAGUGGCCAGUGGUCAGUGUCCAUCACCCCAUGGCUGGUCACUGGUCCCAUGGGUGAUCAGUGGUCAGUGUCCAUCACCCAUGGCUGAUCACUGGUCCCAUGGUGGCCACUGGCCAGUGUCCAUCACCCCAUGGGUGAUCAGUGGUCAGUGUCCAUCACCCAUGGGUGGUCACUGGUCCCAUGGUGGCCAGUGACCAGUGUCCAUCACCCAUGGUGGCCACUGGCCAGUGUCCAUCACCCCAUGGGUGAUCAGUGGCCAGUGGCCAGUGUCCAUCACCCCAUGGGUGAUCAGUGGUCAGUGGUCAGUGUCCAUCACCCCAUGGCUGCUCACUGGUCCCAUGGGUGAUCAGUGACCAGUGUCCAUCACCCAUGGUGGCCACUGGCCAGUGUCCAUCACCCCAUGGGUGGCCAGUGGUCAGUGUCCAUCACCCCAUGGCUGGUCACUGGUCCCAUGGGUGAUCAGUGGUCAGUGUCCAUCACCCAUGGCUGCUCACUGGUCCCAUGGGUGAUCAGUGGCCAGUGUCCAUCACCCAUGGGUGGUCACUGGUCCCGUGGUGGCCACUGGCCAGUGUCCAUCACCCCAUGGCUGCUCACUGGUCCCAUGGGUGAUCAGUGGCCAGUGUCCAUCACCCAUGGCUGCUCACUGGUCCCAUGGUGGCCACUGGCCAGUGUCCAUCACCCGUGGGUGGUCACUGGUCCCAUGGGUGAUCAGUGACCAGUGUCCAUCACCCCAUGGCUGGUCACUGGUCCCAUGGUGGCCACUGGCCAGUGUCCAUCACCCCAUGGGUGAUCAGUGGCCAGUGUCCAUCACCCCAUGGGUGAUCAGUGGCCAGUGUCCAUCACCCAUGGGUGGUCACUGGUCCCAUGGGUGAUCAGUGGCCACUGGCCAGUGUCCAUCACCCGUGGUGGUCACUGGUCCCAUGGCUGCUCACUGGUCCCAUGGGUGAUCAGUGAUCAGUGGUCAGUGUCCAUCACCCAUGGUGGUCACUGGUCCCGUGGUGGCCACUGGCCAGUGUCCAUCACCCCGCUGACCGCUCGCCCCCCCAGCGGCAUGGCGNUGGUCCCAUUGAGUGGUCAGUGGUCAUUGUGGGUGGUCAGUGGUCCCAUUGAGUGGUCAGUGGUCCCAUUGAGUGGUCAGUGGUCAUUGUGAGUGGUCAGUGGUCCCAUUGAGUGGUCAGUGGUCCCAUUGAGUGGUCAGUGGUCCCUGUGAGUGGUCACUGGCCCCAUGGGUGGUCAGUGGUCCCAUUGAAUGGUCACUAGUCCCAUUGAGUUGUCACUGGUCCCAUGGGUGGUCAGUGGUCCCACAGGUGAUCAGUGGCCAGUGUCCAUCACCCCACGGGUGGUCAGCAGUCAGUGUCCAUCACCCAUGGCUGCUCACUGGUCCCAUGGGUGAUCAGUGGCCAGUGGUCAGUGUCCAUCACCCCAUGGGUGGUCACUGGUCCCGUGGGUGAUCAGUGGUCAGUGUCCAUCACCCAUGGGUGGUCACUGGUCCCAUGGGUGAUCAGUGGCCAGUGGUCAGUGUCCAUCACCCAUGGCUGGUCACUGGUCCCACGGUGACCACUGGCCAGUGUCCAUCACCCAUGGUGAUCAGUGGCCAGUGGUCAGUGUCCAUCACCCAUGGGUGGUCACUGGUCCCAUGGUGGCCACUGGUCCCAUGGGUGAUCAGUGGUCAGUGUCCAUCACCCAU